UAAUUGAAUUUCAUUUGGAGUUUCUAACAGAAAAUAGAUUCCUAUAACUUUACAUUCACGCUUCACAAAUCAGGGGGUUCAAUUCACAUUUUUCAGAAAUAGUUUAUUUCCAUUCAUAUCACAGUUCAGGGUCGAUAUUUUUCAUAACAAAAAUUUAUAUUCACAACAGAAAUUCACACACGCGCAUAUCAAUCACGUAAUAGCAAAUUUUCUUCAAAUCUUUCCUCACUCUUAGCAUCAAGAAUUCACUCAAAUUCGCAAUAACUUCUCACGAAUCUCACACUCAAGAAUUGAAAUCAAAACUAACACAAAGGGAGAAGAAGGAGAAUCAAGCGGAAACUAAACGAAAAAGUUCAAUACCAGCACCAUGGAUUCGAGGUUGAUGGUGAAUAGACGUCGACGCGAAGAAAGGAUCACGCAUCGCAGAAGCUCUAUUGAAUAAUCACUUUUCCGUUUCCGCUUCAGCUUGCGCGAAGAACACAAAGACAGACUGGACUUGGUUGCACGUUCAAAUGCAUUGUCAAGCACAAACCUGGUUUGGGCCCAUGGCAGAUUGCUAGAGAUAUCGUGACCGAAUUUGUCAACUUAUGCAGGGGAAAAACUGUCGCGGCUAAGCAACACACCAAGAUGCAUUGGGGAUCUGGAAACCAAAUAAAGGUUCCGAGAUAUCCAGAGUUCAUUCAUCAAGUCAUAAACUAGGGAGUGAAAAAUAUGAACACCUCAGCUGGGGAAAAAUGAAUUAUAAAAGGGAUGUUUAUAGUGCAGUUUUUGAAGAAACACUUUCCUGAGGAUGUGCAUAGCAAGAAGGAGAUUGAAUUCCUUGAGUUAAAUCAAGGAAAUUCGAAGGUUGCAGAGCAUGUCGCAAAUUUUAAGGAGCUAGUGAAAUUUUGUCUGCAUUAUAAUAAUGUUGCUGCUGAGGGUUUGAAGUGCAUCUAGUUUGAGAGUGAUUUGCAUCCCGAGAUCAAAUAAGUUGUUGGUUACUAGGAGAUUCAUUGCUUUUUUGUACUUAUGAAUAAGUGUAGAAUCCACGAUGAUGACAGCAGAGCCCGAUUUGCUCUCUACAAGAAUAUUAGUGAAAAGAAAGGGAAGUAGAGUUACUGCUGUGAGUGGGAAAUAGCUAUUGGAGUUAUUUUCAUUAGUUAUCACAUUUAUAUUAGUCACUAUGCUCUAAUUCUGUAAAACUGGGUUGAACGAUGUUUUCUUUUAUUGUGUUUGUUGUUGACUUACUUAUUUCGUUGAAGUUUAAAAACUAC
Molecule: long non-coding RNA, 1253 nt
Organism: Lathyrus oleraceus (garden pea)
Lineage: Eukaryota; Viridiplantae; Streptophyta; Magnoliopsida; Fabales; Fabaceae
Exons: 2
Source: RefSeq, a predicted model, not a curated record